This 492-nucleotide ribosomal RNA is filed under the name uncultured bacterium. RNAcentral describes it as "partial 16S ribosomal RNA". It matches the Rfam family "Bacterial small subunit ribosomal RNA", at positions 29 to 507 of the family's 1533-position model. The record is from RNAcentral.
AGUGAACGCUGGCGGUAGGCCUAACACAUGCAAGUCGAACGGCAGCACAGUAAGAGCUUGCUCUUACGGGUGGCGAGUGGCGGACGGGUGAGGAAUACAUCGGAAUCUACUUUUUCGUGGGGGAUAACGUAGGGAAACUUACGCUAAUACCGCAUACGACCUACGGGUGAAAGCAGGGGAUCUUCGGACCUUGCGCGAUUGAAUGAGCCGAUGUCGGAUUAGCUAGUUGGCGGGGUAAAGGCCCACCAAGGCGACGAUCCGUAGCUGGUCUGAGAGGAUGAUCAGCCACACUGGAACUGAGACACGGCCCAGACUCCUACGGGAGGCAGAAGUGGGGAAUAUUGGACAAUGGGCGCAAGCCUGAUGCAGCAAGACCGCGUGGGUGAAGAAGGCCUUCGGGUUGUAAAGCCCUUUUGUUGGGAAAGAAAAGCAGCAGGUUAAUACCCCGCUGUUCUGACGGUACCCAAAGAAUAAGCACCGGCUAACUUCGUG